GGGGGUUUCAUCUGGAACCCCUCUGGGAGACACCUGCUUUGGUUCCCAGACACCAGGUCGGCUGCCAGGAAACACAGCGAGCAGGAGGCCUGAGCGGCACCGAAGUGUCUGGUGCUGCCGUGUCCCCCUCGAGCUGUCCGUAGACUUGUGACAGGUGUCUCCAGAUGCCAGGUGCUGUCAGAAUGCGGGGCAGGGAAGCUCGCCUGAGGGGGGCGGCCCCAGCGAAUGCCACACGCAUUCAUCCUCUCGCCCUCUGGAGGCCAGGAUCCCACAGCUAAGAUGUCAGAAGGCUUGAUUUCUCCAAAGGAAAAAGGGGUGCAGGGUCCUUCCUGCCUCUUCCAGCUUUGGGGACGCCAGGUGUUCCCUGGCUCACGGCCGCAGCCCUCCAGCCUCUGCCUCUGUCGCCAAAGGCCCCUCCCCACCCCAUGUGUCUGUACACCCUCUCCCCACCCCUCCCCCACCCCUCCCCGACGUGUCUGUAUGCCUCCCCCUCCCCCCAUGUGUAUGAAACCCCCCACCCCUCCCCCGUGUCUGUAUCUGUAUGGCCGCCCCACCCCCACCCCCACGUGCCUGUGGGUUUUCUGCUCUUGGAGGGACCCCAGUUUUAGGACAAGAGCUCAUCCUCCCGCCUGACCUCAUAGCAGCUGAUUACAUCUGCACAGACCCUAAUUCCAACUAAGGUCACAUCCUGAGGUUCUGGGUGGACGUGGAUUUUGAGGGGACACCAUUGAACCCAGCACAGGGAGCACCCCUGGCCUGGGGAAGCCUGUGGGUCCCACCCUCCCGUGACUGGGGGCUGUAUCUGGGAGGUGGCUGAGGCUGUUGACGGAGCGAGUGGCCCCGGGCAGAGAGGGGGCUCCGUGCCAGGCCGGACGCUCCCCAGGUGAGCGCAGUACCCGCUGGGCCUCCGAAGCCCCUUCCCGGAGAUGAAAGGUCAUCGUUAAAAGCAGUCUCGGUCCCAUUAUAAAUAAAUUUAUUAAACUGCUCGUUGCUGCAGGUGGCCCUGUGUAUUUUUAACAAACGGGAGCAGGCUCAGCUGCUGCGAGGAGCUGGAGAGGGUGAGGCUGGCACGGGGGCUUCAGGGCGGCUGGCCUGCAGCCCUCCACCCGCACGGUGCCGGCAUCACUUCUGCAAAGGCUGGGUGUGGGAGGGCGGAGGACGGGCCCUGGGCUGCAGAAACCAAGGCUGUGGCAGCAAGGGACGCCCCUCAGGCUCAGGCUUCUGCUCCUCCUGGGUGCCCAGCCCACUCCAGAGGCUGCAGGGACAGCCCAGCCCCUUCUCCAGCCACCCAGGGAGCGGGGAGCCCACGCGAGUGGCAUCACGAGGAAUGGGCUCCCCGAAAAGAACCCAGCUUUCAGGCUUGAAGCCCUUCUCACUCAUCACAGCUUCAAGUUCACCUUUUAAAAAUUGUAUUGAGGGGAAAAUGAACCAGUUUAAGUGACUGAUUCAGGGGCAUUUUUGCUUCCACGAUGUGGGGCGCCCCCCCACACACACACACAUCCAGUUCCAGCACGUUGCCCACAUCCUCAGCUGUCACUGCCUCCCCCUGCCCCCCGCGCCUGGCAGCCACCAGCGCAUCCUGGUCCCUGUGGAUCUGCCUGUUCUGGGCGCUUCAUGCCACGGGGUCACACACGGCAGGACCUUCUGAGUCUGGAUCCUCUCACUGGGACGCCGUGGAGGGUCCUGCACGUCGUGAUGCGUGUCCGCGCCUCGUCCUUUCUUGUGGCUGAAAAAUAGUCCACUUCGGGGAUGGAUGUGCGCGUUUUGUUUGGCCGUCUGUUGGUGGACCGUCACUGGGCAUCCAGCUUACUCUGCAAAGGGACCAGUUUCCUACGGAUGCAAACCCCUCAGGGCUGGAGGAGGAGUCUUCCUGAUUUGAUGGGAAGGGGCGCGGGGCGGGCCUCUGAGGAUGGGGGAGUUCAGGUGGGACGUGUCACGGGGCCUCCUGGUCUUGACCAGCCGACUGCAAGUGGCCUGGAGUGGCUGCAUGCGUCAGGCCUGUGGGCACCACCAGGGCAGCCUGGAAAGGCCAUGGACAGCUGCAGGCCAGCCUGCGUUCCCCCAAGGGAGGGGGUGGGUCCAGGCCCGACACCCCAGGCCCUGCACAGGUGUCCCUGUGGUCAUAGCAGAGGGGCCAGAGCCUGCCUCACGCUUGUUGAGUGGAUGAAUGAAUGAACCUUGAAUGAAUGAAUGAAUUAGGGUGGGGUACCGCCAUCCUCCGGGACUCCGUUACUGCAGCCGAGAGCUUUCCAAAGGCAAAGCGAUCUAGGAGAGUCAUUUUAGGGCUCCAAAAUGUGCAAAGGUAACGAGACCAUUUAAAUUAGGAAAUAUUUAAUGUCCGUCUCCAAACUUCAUUUACUGUUACACGGAGUGUUCCUUUAAAGGAAUUCACGGGUCAGCCUUCUCACCUGACCGACGACCUCAGCGCUGCCAGUGGCGACUGAGGUGUCGUCCGUCCUCGGCAGAGGACCCACCCCAGCCAGGCAGACAGCUGCAGAUGUGAAAGUGUGCAGAUGCCUCCAGACUGCUCGCAGUCACGGAGUUACACUUGCUGGCACGUGCGUGGGUUUAUGAGGGUUUUUUAAGCCAUCGAUCAAACAAAUGAUUUCAAAACACAAGCAGGAAGAGAUCAAGGGUCUGUCUGUGGCACCGAGGUCACGGAUGGUUGGCCAGGGGACUAAGUAUUGUGACAGGCAAGUGUUGCCUAACAUUAAUUUCAUAUAGGGAGUUCCUGUUGCGGCUCAGCAUGUUAUGAACCCAACUAAUAUCCAGGAGGAUACAGGUUCGAUCCCUGGCCUCGCUCAGUGGGUUAAGGAUCUGGUGUUGCCGUGAGCUGUGGUGUAGGCCAGCAGCCGUAGCUCCGAUUCAACCCCUAGUCUGGAAACUUCCAUAUGCCGUGGGUAUGGCCCUAAAAAGAAAAGAAAAUUUUAUAUAAAAACUGAGGUGUCUAGUUUCCCUUGAAAAAUCGGAAGACCUAGCCACAGGGAUUUGGUGUUUCGUCCUAGAUGCCAUCACUUAGGGUUGAAGAGUAGCCCCUGCUUUAGAGAGGACCUGUUGAUGUUUGAAACAGGGCUGGGGGCGGGGUGGGGCUUCAAAGGCAACAGAGGGGACCUGGGGCCUCCCCUGGGGCUCUGGACACCACGCUCCAUCCUGGGCACCAGUGGUCUGUGAUGUGGGCUGAGAGCCCCUGUCCCCCCCGCCGCCCCGCCACGGCCAGCACCCGAAAAGCCUCUGGCCUCCUGAAGGAGUCUGUCCUGCUUUUGUCAGUGUCCACCAAGCCCCUCCCAUGUGGCAGGCUCGUGGAGGGGGUGCUGGAGCUUGACGGAAGCUGAGUGAGGUGGGGGAAUGCCAGCCCCUGGGUGGGGAGUGGCCCAGGUCCUCGUUUCGGGCAGACGGGGGCCGCAGGGCUGAUGCACACGUGUGGGCUCCGGGCAGACGUACAGUGAUGUGCAGAAAUGCGGGGAGGAGGGAGCUGUGGACCCCGAGGGGCCACCCGAGCCCCUGCUGGGGUGCAUGGCGCUUCCUCUGGAGAGGACGGGUCCCACCCCCCGACUGUCCCCCCUUUAGUGGAGGGUUCUGGCCGCGGCCCCGCACAGAGCUGCACAGAGCGUGUCCACCCACCCUCCAGCGAGCCGGGCCUUCUGCCUGGUGGUCCAGCAGGGAUCCCAUCCCAUCUUGGGGCAGCCAGAGACCAGGGCGCCCACGGUGUCCACGUAGCCGGCGGCCUGUGCUCACUCCCAGCAGGGGCGACGGAGGGACAAGCCAGGGAGCACAGGACAGUGUCUUUGGAGAGAAAGCGUGACGUGGCCGAGGAACGAGGCCUGUGAUGGACUGGCCUGUGUCCUCCUAGAUUCCUGUGUUGGAGCCCUGCCCCCGUGUGAGGAGGUUCCCGGACUCAGGUUUGGCUGCUCAGCCUCCAAAGCCAGUACCUGAGAGCCGGGUGUCGCGAGGAACGGAAAGAUGGGUUCACUCAGGAGCCCGGGGACAAGGCGGACUCGUGUCCGAGAACCACCUCCCACUGCCGAUCGGGGCCAGGAGCUCGUAAGGGCGAGUUUCAGGGGUGCCAGGCGGAAAGGGGGGCUGCGGGCCCGCCAGCACGGUGGGCUCCGUCGGCUCCGAGAGUCAGCUUGACAUUGGCCACGUGGCGUCUAUCGGCAUCGCCUUGGUGGUUUAGGUACGGCUGCUCCUCAGUUCCAGAGUCGGUUUGGUCCCGUGUCUUUGAGGUCCGCUCUCGGAAUCGCGGCCGCCGAUGUCCCGGCUGCGGUCAGGCCAUCACGUAGUUAACUUCUUCCCCCUGGCGGGGCUUCAGUCUCCGCAGCAGCCCACAGGACACGGCUGGGAAUGUCGUCCACAGCCCUGGAGUCCUUGACUUGAAUGGCCAAACUAUUACUUUGUCGUGUUUGACGACUUUUCUUUGCCUCUGCGUCUUCUUACUCCUCUGAUAAAAGUUACGCUUUGACUAAUGUUUUUCUACAGACAAGAAGCAAGACAUGGGGGCCAGUGGGGGCGUCUGUCCUUGGAAGCUCCCAGGGUCCUGAUCAGUUACAGGGUAUUGGAGGUGGGCCUUUGGGAGAUACUUAGGGUUAGAUGAGGGUGGAGCCCCCACGGGACGCUCGUCUUUACGGGAAGAGGAGGCUACCCAGAGCCCUCUCUGCCCCAUGAGGGCGCAGCGAUGCCUGCAAGCCAGGGAGGGGGUCCUCCCAACCGAGCUGACACCCUGGUCUCAGACCUCCAGCCUCCGGACUGCGGGACGAUCGGCUCCUGCUGCUUGGGCCAGUCCCUGGUAGUUUGUGACAGCCGCCCCAGCCGACUCACACAAGCCCCGACUGCCAGGUUUAAGUCCCAGCUCUCCAGAGCCCAAGCUGGGGGCCUGGGCCUGCUCCUGGCCCCUUAGGUGGAGGCGGUGGAGGGUGUUGUAGGUGCCCAGGCGCUGAGGGGUCCCCAGAGACCCUCCAAAGCACCAGCGAUGGGGCUGGGGGUACAGAGCUGGGCAGGUCUCUGCCUCUGCACCGGCUCCACCAGGUUGCCCAUGGCUCCUGCCCCCCCAGAUCCCGUGCAGAAGCCCAAGUUUGGCAGAAAUCCUGCCUCUCAACCUGGGUGGGAUCUGGGGGUGGCAUCCCCUUCCCAACCGGCCGGGAAUGCGUUCCAUGUGCCUGCGCUGCCGGUUCACCUGUGAUCACCUGUGAUCAUCUGUGCCAGUCUGGCCUGAGGGUGAGGCCCCUUUCCCUGCCCUCACCUCUCUCAUCUGCCUGCCUUCUUCCAUCCCCUCCUAUUCUGAGCCUUCUCUUUCCCUCUGGCUCUGUCUUUUCCUUUUCAAAACCCAACAUCUGGGAGUUCCCGUCGUGGCGCAGUGGUUAACGAAUCCGACUAGGAACCAUGAGGUCGCGGGUUCGGUCCCUGCCCUUGCUCAGUGGGUUAACGAUCUGGCGUUGCGUGAGCUGUGGUGUAGGUUGCAGACGCGGCUCGGAUCCCGUGUUGCUGUGGCUCUGGCGUAGGCCGGUGGCUACAGCUCCGAUUCAACCCCUAGCCUGGGAACCUCCAUAUGCCGCGGGAGCGGCCCAAGAAAUAGCAACAACAACUACAAAAGACAAAAAAAAAAAA
RNAcentral lists this long non-coding RNA (5601 nucleotides) under Sus scrofa (pig). Its description in RNAcentral is "lncRNA (ENSSSCG00060044102.1)". Lineage: Eukaryota; Metazoa; Chordata; Mammalia; Artiodactyla; Suidae. The record is from RNAcentral.